RNAcentral lists this ribosomal RNA (222 nucleotides) under uncultured bacterium. RNAcentral's name for it is "partial 16S ribosomal RNA". It matches the Rfam family "Bacterial small subunit ribosomal RNA", at positions 111 to 334 of the family's 1533-position model. The record is from RNAcentral.
UAAUAGAUAGGAACGUAUCCGGGAGUGGGGGAUAACUAGCCGAAAGGUUAGCUAAUACCGCAUAUUCUCUUAGGAGGAAAGCGGGGGACUCGUAAGAGCCUCGCGCUCGCGGAGUGGCCUAUCUCCGAUUAGCUAGUUGGUGAGGUAAAGGCUCACCAAGGCGACGAUCGGUAGCUGGUCUGAGAGGAUGAUCAGCCACACUGGGACUGAGACACGGCCCAG